Molecule: long non-coding RNA, 407 nt
Organism: Varroa destructor (honeybee mite)
Lineage: Eukaryota; Metazoa; Arthropoda; Arachnida; Mesostigmata; Varroidae
Source: RefSeq, a predicted model, not a curated record
CCCGCCUCGUAUGGUGCCUACAAGCAUGCAGUUAAUCCAGUACACAAUGUCUGGCAGGCCCAUCAUUCGCAUGAUUUCCUACAAUAAUAAAAAGAAGCGAGAAAAGCAUUAGAAAUAAACGAGUCUAUCUCAGCAUUACGACUUACGACGAUGGGAAUUCUAACGAAUUCCCAUCUGUUUUGAAGAAACGUAUUCUGUCAUCUUCAAUCAAGGUGCAUUCUCGUGAUGAAGCUCCCCGAAAAGAACUUGAUGCGGAUAUCCAGAUUCGAACAUAUGACUUACCACACAAACCGGCCUUGAUGCUGUGUUAGCCAGCCUGAAUCAAGUAUCACUGACGACGAUAAGCGACUGUAUAAAAAGUACAACUAACUGUGAAAAUGAGGAUGCGCACGCAAAGAAGAGACUAC